Molecule: ribosomal RNA, 406 nt
Filed under: uncultured bacterium
Lineage: Bacteria
Description: partial 16S ribosomal RNA
Rfam family: Bacterial small subunit ribosomal RNA
Source: RNAcentral
AUUGAACGCUGGCGGCAGGCCUAACCCAUGCAAGUCGAACGCAUGGCGGACGGGUGCAUAAUUUCUGGGAACCUGCCUGAUGGAGGGGGAUAACUACUAGAAACGUUAGCUAAUAGCGCCAAACAUCGGAUGUGCCCAGAGUGGAUUAGCUAGUAGGUGGGGUACAGGCUCACCUAGGCGACGAUCCCUACCUGGCCUGAGAGGCUGACCAGCCACCCUGGAACUGAGACACGGUCCAGACUCCUACGGGAGGCAGCAGUGGGGAAGAUUGCACAAUGGGCGCAAGCCUGAUGCAGCCAUGCCGCGUGUAUGAAGAAGGUCUUCGGGUUGUAAAGUACUUUCGUCGGGGAGGCGUUACCCAAAGAAGAAGCACCGGCUAACUCCGUGCCAGCAGCCGCGGUAAUAC